CGGAGGGGAUUGGAGAGGCUA
This 21-nucleotide microRNA is filed under the name Zea mays. RNAcentral's name for it is "miRt19". The record is from RNAcentral. Lineage: Eukaryota; Viridiplantae; Streptophyta; Magnoliopsida; Poales; Poaceae.